UACGAAGGGGGCUAGCGUUGCUCGGAAUCACUGGGCGUAAAGCGCACGUAGGCGGAUUGCUAAGUCGGGGGUGAAAUCCUGGGGCUCAACCUCAGAAUUGCCUCCGAUACUGGCAGUCUCGAGUGCGGGAGAGGUGAGUGGAAUUCCCAGUGUAGAGGUGAAAUUCGUAGAUAUUGGGAAGAACACCAGUGGCGAAGGCGGCUCACUGGCCCGUAACUGACGCUGAGGUGCGAAAGCGUGGGGAGCAAACAGG
Molecule: ribosomal RNA, 253 nt
Filed under: uncultured bacterium
Lineage: Bacteria
Description: partial 16S ribosomal RNA
Rfam family: Bacterial small subunit ribosomal RNA
Source: RNAcentral